GACGAACGCUGGCGGCGUGCUUAACACAUGCAAGUCGAGCGGUAAGGCCCUUUCGGGGGUACACGAGCGGCGAACGGGUGAGUAACACGUGGGUGACCUGCCCUCAGCUCUGGGAUAAGCCUGGGAAACCGGGUCUAAUACUGGAUAUGACUCCAUGACGCAUGUUGUGGGGUGGAAAGCCUUGUGCGGCUGAGGAUGGGCCCGCGGCCUAUCAGCUUGUUGGUGGGGUGANGGCCUACCAAGGCGACGACGGGUAGCCGGCCCGAGAGGGCGACCGGCCACACUGGGACUGAGACACGGCCCAGACUCCUACGGGAGGCAGCAGUGGGGAAUCUUGCGCAAUGGGCGAAAGCCUGAUCCAGCAAUGCCGCGUGUGUGAAGAAGGCCUGCGGGUUGUAAAGCACUUUCAGUGGGAAGAAAGCUUGUGUGAAUAGCGCCGAGUCUUGACGUUACCCAAAGAAGAAGACACCGGCUAACUCCGUGCCAGCAGCCG
This 493-nucleotide ribosomal RNA is filed under the name uncultured bacterium. Its description in RNAcentral is "bacterial SSU rRNA". It matches the Rfam family "Bacterial small subunit ribosomal RNA", at positions 28 to 517 of the family's 1533-position model. The record is from RNAcentral.